RNAcentral lists this ribosomal RNA (243 nucleotides) under uncultured bacterium. RNAcentral's name for it is "partial 16S ribosomal RNA". It matches the Rfam family "Bacterial small subunit ribosomal RNA", at positions 57 to 305 of the family's 1533-position model. The record is from RNAcentral.
GCAAGUCGAGCGCGAAAGCACUUCGGUGUGAGUAGAGCGGCGGAUGGGUGAGUAACGCGUAGGAAUCUACCUAGUAGUGGGGGACAACUCGGGGAAACUCGAGCUAAUACCGCAUACGCCCUAAGGGGGAAAGCGGGGGAUCUUCGGACCUCGCGCUAUUGGAUGAGCCUGCGUCGGAUUAGCUAGUUGGUGGGGUAAAGGCUCACCAAGGCGACGAUCCGUAGCUGGUCUGAGAGGAUGAUC